GGCCAAGAAACAAAAGGCAGUUUUCUGACCUUCUCUGAUUUUAUCAUUGCCAUGCUCUAACUCGCUGAGCUAACCAGCCACAGUUCUAUUGGAACUCACCAUGGAGACAGAUUAAUUUUAACUCAGAGAACAUGGGCUUUUCAACACAAGUUAAAUAUAGGCUGGCACAGAACAUUACAGAAGCGUUAGGUCCUCAGAAAUUUUUUUAGCUUCUAAACUUUGAGCAGCUACUAAUGUAUGCUUCUCAUACUUUCUCUUGGUCAUUUUCACCUUUUCUUCUUCCCAUGAUCACUGAAAUAGAGAAGGCAGAACUUCACCAGCAGGAAAUACAAAGGGCAUCGCUUUCAAUAAUGGUUUAA
RNAcentral lists this long non-coding RNA (359 nucleotides) under Mustela putorius furo (domestic ferret). RNAcentral describes it as "lncRNA (ENSMPUG00000026815.1)". Lineage: Eukaryota; Metazoa; Chordata; Mammalia; Carnivora; Mustelidae. The record is from RNAcentral.